This 551-nucleotide long non-coding RNA is filed under the name Oryza sativa Indica Group (long-grained rice). RNAcentral's name for it is "lncRNA OsZS97_08G016400". The record is from RNAcentral. Lineage: Eukaryota; Viridiplantae; Streptophyta; Magnoliopsida; Poales; Poaceae.
GUUUGGAGGCGGCGCGAGGUCCGGGAGGCGGCUCUAGGGUGGAGAUCCGAGAACAGCAUAUCUCCAGCCGCCGCCGCUCUCUAUCCCGCCCUUGGUUGCCGCCGGUCUCCAUCCCACUUCAGCCGCCGCCAGUCUCCAUCCCGUCCUCAGCCGCCGGCGGUCUCCAUCCCGCUUCAGCCGCCGACGGUCUCCAUCCCGCUUCAGCCGCCGCCGCUCUCCUUCCCGCUCUCCAUCCCGCCCAGUCGCCGGCGCUCGCCAUCUCUCCUUCCUCGCUUCGGAUUCACCAGUUGCGGGAGAGGGCGAGGUCGAGGGCAACAGCCCGGACACCAAGAAGCAGGAGAGGCACAGGCGUGUGGGGUUGGCAAAAGUAAAGCUGAAGGAGUUGAUAUUACCCAAGUUACAGGGUUCCAUGGCCCAUUUGCUAGCUGUGCCCAUUGGAAGGAUUGUUUUGCAAGAUAGUUCUUAGAGACUCCUUGAAUUGUGAAAUGCGAUGGAUGAAGGACAAUUUUUCCUUAAUUGCUUCUUAAUUCAUGUAGCUAUUAUGGUUGCAG